This 482-nucleotide ribosomal RNA is filed under the name Cadlina luteomarginata. Its description in RNAcentral is "partial 16S ribosomal RNA". It matches the Rfam family "Bacterial large subunit ribosomal RNA", at positions 1800 to 2618 of the family's 2925-position model. Lineage: Eukaryota; Metazoa; Mollusca; Gastropoda; Nudibranchia; Chromodorididae. The record is from RNAcentral.
CUGUUUAUCAAAAACAUAGUCUUAGGAAAAUUUAUCUAAGAUUAAACCUGCCCAAUGUUUAUUUAUGAAUGGCCGCGGUACCUUGACCGUGCUAAGGUAGCGCAAUAAAUUGGCCUUUAAAUGAGGCCACGUAUGAAUGGAAUCACGGGGUUUAGCUGUCUCUGGAACUAAUUUAUUGAAAUUACUAUGUAGGUGAAAAAGCCUACUUCAAGAAAAAGGACGAGAAGACCCUUAGAGCUUUACUAAAGUUGAGAAUUUUUAUUCUUAAGUCAGUUCUGUUGGGGCAACAUAGGAACACUGAAAUUUCCUUAAAUUCAAUCCACCGAUGUUUAUAAAUUUGAAUAAGCUACCUUAGGGAUAACAGCAAAAUUUUAUAAAUUAGUUUGUGACCUCGAUGUUGGACUAGGAAACUGAUAGGCUAGCCGCUUAUUAGAAAAGCUCUGUUCGAACUAUAAUUUCCUACGUGAUCUGAGUUCAGACCG